AUGUGGUGGAGGCUUUUUCGUAUCGACCUGCUACAUCACCUUCAGACCAUCCAUCUUCCUCCUCCUCGAUCUGCUUGCACGGAUUUCCAGAUUUUGCUGCCAGUUUUGAAACUCCUCAGCGAUUCUCAGUUUUUCCCUGUCAGAAAAGAGUACAAAACCCAACUCGCCCUUUGCCCAAAGUACAGUCAUCCAGAGAUAGAGCCUAGAUGGCUUUUCCAGCCACCAGUUCUGCCUGUGCUCUAUCUUUGCUUUCCUUCCAUGAAUGUAAUGGGGUCAGAAGGACUGGGCACCUCUUGGAAAGCCCCCAAGGUACUGAGGGAGCAAAGUGAGCACUGGGUGAGGUUUAGCUUUGGUAAGAUAAGGGCCAUGCUAUCACCUAGGACAGCAGACUCCUUUCUAAUCUCUAAAUGCAGCGUUGUCAAUACAGAGCAAAGGUUUCUGCUCACCCUCUUCUUCUCUAUUUAAUACAUUUAAGUACUGCACUCUACAUAUGAAGAAUAGUGAUGUUAUCAGAAAGCAUUCAAAAACAUAUGUUUUAAUGAAAUGUGUUGACAACUGCUGAAGUAAAGUUUUUGUUAAGUCUCAAGAGUUUAGCCAUGACAAGCAGUAUUAAUGAAUUGAAUUAAUUAAAAAGCAUUUCAAGAUGAAACGGGGCCUGUUCUAUGUAAAAUGCUCUAUACAUUAGACAAGCAUUAUGGAAAUCACUGCUUUGUACUGCACUGUAAUGCAGCCAUUUAUAAAAGCUUCUCAAGAUCCAUGGAUAGCAGUAAUUUGGGCUUAGCGUGUCUUUGAAAUUCAUUGAAUACAGCAUGUGCUAUUUAAAAGCAUGAAAUCUGGAUAGUUCCACUGCCAUCAAAGUUCGUAUGGCUUGGAGAGAGGGAGCUCAGCACUGCUGGAAUGAGCGAUGAUGCACGCAGGGAGGGGGAAACCAAAGAGCAGAAUGGUGAAGCCAUGGUGUUACAGAGCAGGCUCUCAGAUUAGCAGCAAGCCAGGUCCCAAACUGCCCCGAAAUAUGGGUGAUCUCAGAGUCAUUUCUUUCAUUCUUGCUGCUCGUCUGCCCCAAGAUCCCCUCAUUUAUGUACUAUGCUUGGUCUCCAGCUCUUCUGCUUUUUAGAUUGCUUUUUUUUUUUUCGUCCUGAGUAAUACCAUCAACUGUGACCAGUGGCAUUACAGAAAGAUAGAUGUGUAUUCCUUGUAUUCCA
This 1202-nucleotide long non-coding RNA is filed under the name Phasianus colchicus (ring-necked pheasant). RNAcentral describes it as "lncRNA (ENSPCLG00000006003.1)". Lineage: Eukaryota; Metazoa; Chordata; Aves; Galliformes; Phasianidae. The record is from RNAcentral.